AGAGUUUGAUCCUGGCUCAGAUUGAACGCUAGCGGCAUGCUUAACACAUGCAAGUCGAACGGCAGCACGAGGAGCUUGCUCCUUGGUGGCGAGUGGCGGACGGGUGAGUAACGCGUAGGAAUCUACCUUAUAGUGGGGGACAACUCGAGGAAACUCGAGCUAAUACCGCAUAAUCUCUUAGGAGCAAAGCAGGGGACUUUCGGGCCUUGUGCUAUUAGAUGAGCCUGCGUCAGAUUAGCUUGUUGGUGGGGUAAAGGCCUACCAAGGCGACGAUCUGUAGCUGGUCUGAGAGGAUGAUCAGCCACACUGGGACUGAGACACGGCCCAGACUCCUACGGGAGGCAGCAGUGGGGAAUAUUGGACAAUGGGCGCAAGCCUGAUCCAGCAAUGUCGCGUGUGUGAAGAAGGCCUUCGGGUUGUAAAGCACUUUCGGUGGGGAAGAAAAGCCUAAGGCUAAUAACCUUGAGCCAUGACAUUACCUGCAGAAGAAGC
This 492-nucleotide ribosomal RNA is filed under the name uncultured bacterium. RNAcentral's name for it is "bacterial SSU rRNA". It matches the Rfam family "Bacterial small subunit ribosomal RNA", at positions 8 to 491 of the family's 1533-position model. The record is from RNAcentral.